CCUACGGGUGGCUGCAGUGGGGAAUAUUGCACAAUGGGCGCAAGCCUGAUGCAGCCAUGCCGCGUGUGUGAAGAAGGCCUUCGGGUUGUAAAGCACUUUCAGCGGGGAGGAAGGCGGUGAGGUUAAUAACCUCAUCGAUUGACGUUACCCGCGGAAGAAGCACCGGCUAACUCCGUGCCAGCAGCCGCGGUAAUACGGAGGGUGCAAGCGUUAAUCGGAAUUACUGGGCGUAAAGCGCACGCAGGCGGUCUGUCAAGUCGGAUGUGAAAUCCCCGGGCUCAACCUGGGAACUGCAUUCGAAACGGGCAGGCUAGAGUCUUGUAGAGGGGGGUGGAAUUCCAGGUGUAGCGGUGAAAUGCGUAGAGAUCUGGAGGAAUACCGGUGGCGAAGGCGGCCCCCUGGACAAAGACUGACGCUCAGGUGCGAAAGCGUGGGGAGCAAACAGGAUUAGAUACCCGAGUAGUC
Molecule: ribosomal RNA, 465 nt
Filed under: uncultured Klebsiella sp.
Lineage: Bacteria; Pseudomonadati; Pseudomonadota; Gammaproteobacteria; Enterobacterales; Enterobacteriaceae
Description: bacterial SSU rRNA
Rfam family: Bacterial small subunit ribosomal RNA
Source: RNAcentral